UACGGAGGGGACUAGCGUUGUUCGGAAUUACUGGGCGUAAAGCGCACGUAGGCGGAUUUGUAAGUCAGGGGUGAAAUCCCGGGGCUCAACCUCGGAACUGCCUUUGAUACUGCAAAUCUCGAGUCCGGAAGAGGUGAGUGGAAUUCCUAGUGUAGAGGUGAAAUUCGUAGAUAUCGGGAGGAACACCAGAGGCGAAGGCGGCCACCUGGACAGACACUUACGCUGAGACGCGAAAGCGUGGGGAGCAAACAGG
Molecule: ribosomal RNA, 253 nt
Filed under: uncultured bacterium
Lineage: Bacteria
Description: partial 16S ribosomal RNA
Rfam family: Bacterial small subunit ribosomal RNA
Source: RNAcentral